Molecule: ribosomal RNA, 261 nt
Filed under: uncultured bacterium
Lineage: Bacteria
Description: partial 16S ribosomal RNA
Rfam family: Bacterial small subunit ribosomal RNA
Source: RNAcentral
ACACUGACUAGUUUUUAGUGGCGAACGGGUGAGUAACGCGUGAGCAACCAACCCUGUGCAGGGGGAUAAUCACUGGAAACGGUGACUAAUACCGCAUAUAAUACAUUUGUGGCAUUACAGAUGUAUGAAAGCUCCGGCGGCACAGGACGGGCUCGCGUCCCAUUAGCUAGUUGGUGAGGUAACGGCUCACCAAGGCGACGAUGGGUAGCCGAUCUAAGAGGAUGACCGGCCACACUGGGACUGAGACACGGCCCAGACUCC